RNAcentral lists this ribosomal RNA (372 nucleotides) under Zophophilus curticornis. RNAcentral's name for it is "partial 12S ribosomal RNA". Lineage: Eukaryota; Metazoa; Arthropoda; Insecta; Coleoptera; Tenebrionidae. The record is from RNAcentral.
GAUACCCUAUUAUUUUAAACGUUAAUUUUCUAUCUUUAUUUAUUAAUAGUUAUGUUCUUUAAAGUUAAAAAAUUUGGCGGUAUUUUAGUCUGUUCAGAGGAACCUGUCUUUUAAUUGAUAUUCCACGAUUAUUUUUACCUUUACUUUAAAUUUAUAUAUCGUUGUUUAUAAAAAUUUCAGGAGGAUUAAAAUUUUUAUUUCUUAUUAUUUUGCUUUAUUUCAGAUCAAGGUGUAGUUUAUGUUAAGGUUGGGAUGGGUUACAUUGUUUAUAUCUAUGGUUUCUUUAUUUAUAAUUUAGGAUAAAUUGGAUUUGAUAGUAAUUAUUAUUUAUAUAUGUAUAUUGAUUUAGCUCUAAAAUAUGCACACAUCGCC